CGCACGGGUGAGUAAUACAUCGGAACGUGUCUUCUAGUGGGGGAUAACUGCCCGAAAGGGCAGCUAAUACCGCAUGAGACCUGAGGGUGAAUGCGGGGGAUCGCAAGACCUCGCGCUGGAAGAGCGGCCGAUGUCCGAUUAGCUAGUUGGUGAGGUAAAGGCUCACCAAGGCGACGAUCGGUAGCCGGACCGAGAGGUUGAACGGCCACAUUGGGACUGAGACACGGCCCAG
Molecule: ribosomal RNA, 232 nt
Filed under: uncultured bacterium
Lineage: Bacteria
Description: partial 16S ribosomal RNA
Rfam family: Bacterial small subunit ribosomal RNA
Source: RNAcentral